This 515-nucleotide ribosomal RNA is filed under the name uncultured bacterium. RNAcentral's name for it is "bacterial SSU rRNA". It matches the Rfam family "Bacterial small subunit ribosomal RNA", at positions 15 to 518 of the family's 1533-position model. The record is from RNAcentral.
GAUCCUGGCUUAGGAUGAACGCUAGCGACAGGCUUAACACAUGCAAGUCGAGGGGCAGCAUAAAAGUAGCAAUACUUGGUGGCGACCGGCGCACGGGUGAGUAACGCGUAUGCAACCUACCUAUCAGAGGGGAAGUAACCCGGCGAAAGUCGGACUAAUACCGCAUAAAACAGGGACACCGCAUGGUGAUAUUUGUUAAAGAAAUUCGCUGAUAGAUGGGCAUGCGUUCCAUUAGGUAGUUGGUGAGGUAACGGCUCACCAAGCCGACGAUGGAUAGGGGAACUGAGAGGUUGGUCCCCCACACUGGUACUGAGACACGGACCAGACUCCUACGGGAGGCAGCAGUGAGGAAUAUUGGUCAAUGGGCGAGAGCCUGAACCAGCCAAGUCGCGUGGAAAAGGAAGAAGGAUCUAUGGUUCGUAAACUUCUUUUGCAGGGGAAUAAAGUGCAGGACGUGUCCUGUUUUGUAUGUACCCUGAGAAUAAGGAUCCGGCUAACUCCGUGCCAGCCGCAGC